RNAcentral lists this ribosomal RNA (2778 nucleotides) under Triticum aestivum (bread wheat). RNAcentral's name for it is "partial small subunit ribosomal RNA". The record is from RNAcentral. Lineage: Eukaryota; Viridiplantae; Streptophyta; Magnoliopsida; Poales; Poaceae.
AUGGCUUCCUCUUGGAGGUACCCUCGCCGCGGGGAUGACUACGACGACGAGGAGGACGAUGAAGAGGAGGAGGAGGACGACGACUAUGAGGAGCAGGAGGAUGACGAUGAAGAGACAGAGGAAGGCAGCACCGAGGAGGAGAGGUCUCCAACCCCCUAUAACAUGGAGCUGCACUCCAUGACCGCAAAGGGCAUCCAACACUUGUGCUCCGAGCUCCUGGAAAUAAACGAGGCCUCCCAGGAAGACUUCCAAAGGAAUGUCCACCUAACCUACCUGUCCUUCCUCAGAUUGUUCCAAGAAGCUGGCGAUCUGGAGAAAGAUGUUGACCAUCUCAAACGCCAGGCCAUGGCGCAGAGGAGCCUCCUCCAACAUCUCACAAACAACCUUUACUCCUCAAUAAUACCGGAGAAUUCAACAAUUGAUCCAUCACCCAGCAGUAUCGCUGACACCGCCGUCGAUCCAUUGGAUGUUCUUCUAUCCGAGCACAGGAUGGACCAAGCCCUUGAGCUGCUUGAAGCGGAAGGACAGGCGCUAGAGAAACUGCACGGCGACGACGCCCAGAUGAUCACGUCGAGCAUGUCCGCGCUGUCGGCCCGGAGAGCCAGAGUCGCAGACCGCUUCGCCGCUCUAGCCAACAACCGGCGGACGCCACGGCAUGAGCUCCUCCAGGCGCUCUCCGGCCUCUGCAGCCUCGGCGAUGCCCAACGGGCGAACCACCUCCUCUUCAAGUUCUACAGCCCAGGAGGUGCCCUCUGGCGCGUCGAGGAGCUGAGGUCAUCAUCACACAGGAAUUGCAUCGGGGAGCUGGCGCACACGGUCUUCUCCUCCAUCCUCGAGGCAUCGAGGAGCUUCGUCGCACUGCACGGGCCGACACCGUCUCCCGAGCUCAGCCGGUGGGCGAGGGGGGAAAUUGAUGACUUUGUCGCCACGUUCCGCGACUACUUUGGGUCCGUAUCAGAAGCCGAGGCCGGCGACGGGCUGGCACUGGCGACUGAAGCCGCCAACUGCGCCGUCUCCUACUCUUCCAUGCUCGGCAUGGUCGUCUCGGUGGAAGAUGUCAAGGCAUUGAUUCGGCCUUGCAUGGAGGAGCUGCUGUCAACGUAUGCCAAGCAUCUGGAGAAGGUAGUCAGGUUGUUGGUUUGCUCCGACGCGUGGGUGCUGGGGAAGUUCCUCAGGUCAGGAGUCCUACGGCUACCUGCCGCUACCGGUGGCGGUGGCGAAACUGAGCACUGCUUGCUCACGGCCAGUGGAAGGAAAUUUGUCACGUUGAUGCAGGAGGUUGUGGAGGACGUGUCCCCACUGCUGCGCCUUGGGAUGAAGAGCUCAGUGCUGCAGCUCCUGGCCGGGUUGUUCAGAGACUACAUGCACUCCAUCCUAGCCGUCGACGGAGUCGACCAGCAGCAGCAGUAUAUGUGGCAGCUGUCCUUCCUCAUCAACUGCACCACGCUGGUCUCCUUGUUUCCGAUCAUUGCCCACAGCGUCUUCAUCAAGAGCAACAACCAAGCGUCGCAAGCUGAACCCGAACUCCACAGUUUGACCUUGUUCAUCAAGGAAGCAUCCGGCCAAGUAUGGACACACUUCUGCCAGCAGUUCAUACGAGACACCACGUCGACUCUGCAUGACAAACCAACAUCGACAGCGACAAGCUUCCUGCCUAUGAUGCCCUGUUCUGCAUUCCAGACGGUGUUCCUGCGGGUGAGGCAGUUGAGUGAUCUGUAUGGCACCAUCUUAGCCGGCAAAGAUGGAACCAUGAGAAAACUGCUGCAGGAGUUGAUGGAGGCCAUGAUAAUCUGGCUCCAGAGCAACCUAGAUCCCUGGAUCCAUCACGCACAGAAUCUACCCAACGACACACUUCUCCAUCAGAUCCAGUUAGAUGUUCAUUUUCUGCUUGAAAUUGCACACUUUGGUGGUUUCUCUUCCGACGGUAUCAGAACCUCCACAUUGGACCUGCUUAGCAGAGCACAAGAGAAAAUAUCAUUUUCGGAACCGAGUGUAAAGAGUGAUACCAUCCAUGAAGAGGCAUGGGCUACCAAUGCCGCGAAACGGGCAGUCCAAGCGCUGGUGGGAGGUGGAGUAAAUAGCUCCAGUUCACAAGAAAAAGAAGCAACUGUUCAAAGUGAAGAAGAUGUGUUCAACGCUGGAGGAGUUGAUGUGGGAAAGAAUGCUCAAGAAAGAGAUGAGGAGACCGAUGAUAACGUCAGCAGUUUAGAUCAGAACGACACACCGGAUAAUUCGGGCGAUAAACAUGCCUUGGGUGAAACCGGCUGCAAUGAGAAGUCCACCGAUGAAUUCAUGAGCAUCGAGAGUGAUGGUGGAGCAACUGAGGGCCACACCGGAGAUGGUGUGUUGCCGGGGAACCCAUUGAUGACAAGCACUGGAUUCCUUGAUUCAGAAAAGCAUAAGUUGCCGGCAGAGAACAUACCCGUAGAUGUCCAUGGUGAUGGAAUGGGCGGGAUAGGAGGCUCAGACGCUGUCGUGGAAGCAACUCCAUGUGAUCCACACGAAAAUGAAGAUGAUGAUGACAAGUGUACCUUGCCAGAACUUUUGCGGGACAAGAUGAACCCUAUCCAUGCGCUCAGUGACCAGAGUGCUACGGACACAACGAGCACGAGCUCCAUGGAAAUGGAAAGUGGUGAUCAACACUCUGAUCCGGGGACCGGUAGCAGCGGCGGCGCCAACAUCAGGAGGCGACGUGGUGCAGCUGCAGACAAGAGAGGUGGUGGUAAUAGAAAGAAGAGGGAGGACAUGAGAAGAAGCAAUAGGCCGAGAUGGCAAUGA